This 1322-nucleotide unclassified non-coding RNA is filed under the name Zea mays. RNAcentral describes it as "misc RNA Zm00001eb298760". The record is from RNAcentral. Lineage: Eukaryota; Viridiplantae; Streptophyta; Magnoliopsida; Poales; Poaceae.
AGCAGAUUUUCCUCCGCGUGCCACCCGACGACCCCGCGCGCCUACUCCGCGGCGCGCUCGUUUGCAAGCACUGGGCCCGCCUCCUCGCCCACCGCGACUUCCGCCGCCGGUACGGCGAGCGCCACGGGGGCCUGCCUCCGCUGCUCGGCUUCGUCGCCAACAAAAUUUCCACCGACGGGGUCGCGCGCUUCGUCCCCACGCUCGCCUUCUCGCCCGCUCUCCGCCACGACGGGUACCGCGCGCACGACGCCCGCCACGGCCGCGUCCUUCUCAACCGGAUCAUGGGUGGCGGUAGCGGCGCCUCCCACGCGCUCGCGGUCUGGGACCCCGUCACCGACGACCACCAGUCCCUGCCGCUCUUCCCGUGGCCCCCCCCACCAGCAGUUAAACAGCUGGAACGCCGCCGUGCUCUGCGCCAGCUCCUCCUGCUACGGCCACCACCUCGACUGCCGCCCCGGCCACUUCCUCGUCGCCUUCGUCGGCAUGGACGCCAAGGAGAUGUUCGCCCGCGUCUACUCAUCUGAGUCCGCCGCGUGGGGCAAGGUGACCUCCGCCCGGCUUCCAGGCAGCCAUUUCCACGACAAGCUGUCCGGCGCUCUAGCGCGGAACGCGAUCUACUUCGUACUCGGGCCGGAACACGGGAUGGUCAAGUAUGAUCUGGCUACGGGCAAGCUGUCUCUGGUCGCCGUACCAGAGACGCUUACGCUCGAUGGUUGGCGCUUGAUGACUACGGAGGACGGUGGGCUGGGAUUUGCAGAGUUGAACUUGCAUUCGACUCUCACGCUCUGGUCCAUGGUGGACGAAGGGAGAUGGGCCGUAAGCAGGGCCAUCGACCUGACCGACCGACUCCCAGUUAUUGCCCUCGCGGUAUCCACUUGUAUGGUUGCCUUUGCGGACAUUGCCGGUGUCAUCUUCCUUAGGACGACAGAUGGGCUCUACACUUAUGAUCUCAAGACUGAGCAGAGCAUUCUUGUUAUGGAUAAUGACUUCUAUGGCAUCAUACCCUACGCGAGCUUCUACACUCCAGUGUUACGGGUGGCCACCACAUGCGAGGGGUCUGCCUCGACUUCUUGACAGAGACCUAUAGUGCUGAUCAGAUGCUUUCUUGGCAAUAGAAAGUUUUGUUGGUAGUAGUAUUAGCUUUAUAGGGGGACAGGUCAUUAGGGUUGAUCUUGUGCUUGAGGCCUUGCCUACAGGCUACAGACACGGUACUACUGAAAUAGUUAGCAAAAGAUAGGAAUACUGUUGUAAUCUGGAACGUAGCAGUACAUAUCAACUGCCCGUCUUAGUUUCAGCUCAUGAAGUGAAUGCAUACCAAACUA